Molecule: long non-coding RNA, 1016 nt
Organism: Homo sapiens (human)
Lineage: Eukaryota; Metazoa; Chordata; Mammalia; Primates; Hominidae
Exons: 3
Source: RefSeq, a predicted model, not a curated record
GGAGACAAUGGAAGGAGGAAGAAAGAGGGAGGGAGAAAGACCCUAGUGUCUGUCCUCAGCGGCUGCGGCCAGGGCUGGAGAGGUGUUCAUGGCCCAGGAAGGACAGAAAAGAAACCACUGCCUGAGGGUCUGGCUCAGCUCUGCAAUCCCUCCUCCCCAGCUGUGAGAAUUGGGGCCCUCUGGGAUACGCCCCCAUCAGGCGGGGAGACAACGGGGAUCCAGGCCACAUAGAGUCUAUGAUGUCUUAAGCACUGGAGGGUAUCAGUAGAGAGAAGUAUGAGAAGUAUGAGAAAGUGCUGAAGAAAUCACGGGAUGCUUCCUGGAGAAGGACAUAGCUUUGGCUUGACCCUCUGCUGCUGUGAGCUGCACUCUGUGAAAUGGGAUCAUGUUCUCAACCAGCCUCCCUGACAUGAGUUGAUUGCACCAAAACCCUAUGGAUAAAAGAGUUGUUGCCAUAGAAAAAGAGACAAGCGCGAUUUGCAGAGCAAGCUGAAGCCCCAGAGAUCUUCCCUGUCCCCACAGACCCCUGCUGUGCCCAUUUGGUCAGCCCUGCCUCGAGCCCAGUGGGAUCCCCCCGCUACGCCCCAUCCACAUUUCAAAUGACAGCAUUGUCAGGCUUUGGCUAUCUUCCCCUUCUGCAAAUGGGAAACUGAGGCUGCAAGAAGGGAAGUGACUUGCUCAAAGACACCUUGCAAUUUGGUGGCAGCCUGGAGCUCAGACCCCCUGACUCCCAUGCAGGGCCUACCACUCCAUCCCCCUCAAAACCCACAAAGAUUCCGUUCUGUUCUGUCCUCAGCCAACGCGGUGGCCCACCCACCUUGGGCGACCAGAGCCAAGAGGUUGUUUGUCUGUUUUAGACACUCUCGUCGCUGUGUUUCUUCUUUAUCUUUUAAGGGCUCGAGACUCAGGAAAACCAACUCAACGUGCAUAAUUUGGCAAUUAUUUCUUGUGUUCAUCCUCACGGCCGUGGCUGCAUACAGAUAUUGGAAUUUGCAUAAAACAAUCUUGCUACCAGU